AGCAUAUGGAGAAAAUCAAUAAAAGGAAAUCUGAACCACAAAUUGGAACUCAUGUUACUAAAAAGAAUGCUGAGAGAAUACUUGAAGCAACAUUUUCUGGACUUCACCAAAGGAUGUGAAUCAGCAACCGCUCCCCUUUCUUUGCCUUUUCAACAAGAAACAGGACAAGACAACGAAUUCUAUAGUUUAUAUGGAAAAAAUUUAUGGCACUAAGUAAUGAUAAAGAUAAAAGUACUUACUGAUUGCUAAA
This 250-nucleotide unclassified non-coding RNA is filed under the name Hevea brasiliensis (rubber tree). The record is from RNAcentral. Lineage: Eukaryota; Viridiplantae; Streptophyta; Magnoliopsida; Malpighiales; Euphorbiaceae.